AAUUAUUUAAUUCGAUUCAUAAAAACACAACAACCUACCACUCCACACCAUUCAAAAAAUCCUAAAACCUUACAAUUUGUUUUCCAAAAACCUAUAAUUCGUAUGUAAUUUUUUAUUUAAAAAGAAGGUAUUUUAGAAUACCUUUUUUUCAGAAUGUAAACCAAACCAGAGGAAGAUGUUGAAGGAAGAUGAUGGUACCAAUGCUCGAACUCAUGACCAAAGCCAAUGAGUACAUCAUCACACAACAGCUGAGCUAUC
RNAcentral lists this long non-coding RNA (258 nucleotides) under Linum usitatissimum (flax). Its description in RNAcentral is "long non-coding RNA (LUSI_LNC007877)". Lineage: Eukaryota; Viridiplantae; Streptophyta; Magnoliopsida; Malpighiales; Linaceae. The record is from RNAcentral.